UACGAAGGGGGCUAGCGUUGCUCGGAAUUACUGGGCGUAAAGGGCGCGUAGGCGGCUUGCACCGUCAGAUGUGAAAUUCCUGGGCUUAACCUGGGGGCUGCAUUUGAUACGUGUGGACUUGAGUGCGGAAGAGGGUCGUGGAAUUCCCAGUGUAGAGGUGAAAUUCGUAGAUAUUGGGAAGAACACCGGUGGCGAAGGCGGCGACCUGGUCCGAUACUGACGCUGAGGCGCGAAAGCGUGGGGAGCAAACAGG
Molecule: ribosomal RNA, 253 nt
Filed under: uncultured bacterium
Lineage: Bacteria
Description: partial 16S ribosomal RNA
Rfam family: Bacterial small subunit ribosomal RNA
Source: RNAcentral